CAGGAAGAAAACAAGGCAGGGAGCAUGAAGUUACAGACAAUCCUAAAGCAUUUACUAGCCAAGAAGAACUGUUUGGAUAUUUGGAAUGGGGCACACUGAUGCAGAGUCACCACCUUCCACAUCUGGAGAAGAGCAUCAGGCCCUGUCACAGGGAUUCUGCUCAACUGCCAAGAGCGUCAGGAGAGAUACAUCUGUGCGGCGGAGUCAGCAAAGACCUGCAAAGACACCAGUAGCCCUGCAUGGGCAUGCGUGGCACCAUGUCUCUGCUGAUGCCAUGGGAUUUCUGCAGCUCUGCAGGGAGCUUCAGCACUCUUAUGUUGCAGAUGGCUAGGACUGCGUCCUGGCCGUGCAGCAUGAGGCUGGCAAAUGCUUCCUCGAUCUCUCUGCAGAAGAAGGACCUCAUCCCCAGGGCAGAAGUAGAAAGGGUGCAGUAGAGGGUGAAGCCUGAGCAGCACAGCACCUUUUAUUCUGCAGCUGAAAAAGUCCAUGUGGUAGGCUGCUCUUGAGGGCACUUCACAUCGACCACUUGGCACCAGCACAGUCCUGCCCACUGAGGACAGUAGCCCUGUGAUGGCUCUCA
Molecule: long non-coding RNA, 580 nt
Organism: Nothoprocta perdicaria
Lineage: Eukaryota; Metazoa; Chordata; Aves; Tinamiformes; Tinamidae
Exons: 3
Source: RefSeq, a predicted model, not a curated record